RNAcentral lists this ribosomal RNA (404 nucleotides) under uncultured Acidimicrobiales bacterium. RNAcentral describes it as "bacterial SSU rRNA". It matches the Rfam family "Bacterial small subunit ribosomal RNA", at positions 355 to 774 of the family's 1533-position model. The record is from RNAcentral. Lineage: Bacteria; Bacillati; Actinomycetota; Acidimicrobiia; Acidimicrobiales.
UGGGGAAUCUUGCGCAAUGGGCGAAAGCCUGACGCAGCAACGCCGCGUGAGGGAUGGAGGCCUUCGGGUUGUAAACCUCUUUCAGUAGGGACGAUUGUGACGGUACCUGCAGAAGAAGCCCCGGCCAACUACGUGCCAGCAGCCGCGGUAAUACGUAGGGGGCAAGCGUUGUCCGGAAUUAUUGGGCGUAAAGAGCUCGUAGGCGGCUUGGUAAGUCGGGUGUGAAACCUCCAGGCUCAACUUGGAGAUGCCACCCGAUACUGCCAUGGCUAGAGUCCGGUAGGGGCCCACGGAACUCCUGGUGUAGCGGUGAAAUGCGCAGAUAUCAGGAAGAACACCGGUGGCGAAGGCGGUGGGCUUGGGCCGGAACUGACGCUGAGGAGCGAAAGCGUGGGGAGCGAACA